Molecule: long non-coding RNA, 1951 nt
Organism: Mus musculus (house mouse)
Lineage: Eukaryota; Metazoa; Chordata; Mammalia; Rodentia; Muridae
Product: predicted gene, 34196
Exons: 4
Source: RefSeq, a predicted model, not a curated record
CAUUAAGUAAGUGCCCUUAAUCAGCUUUUCAGUUCAGUUUUAUUGGUUGCAUGCACAGUCAGUUAUUUCAUCCAGAAAAUCUGAAAGCUCUACAAACUAACCAGAACAUGUGCCUGAUGAGUGAAGCUGAAGCAGCCAUUCAGAAGUCAUGAGAUCCCUUGAUGUUCAACACUAUAUUCUGAGAUGAAAGGAGUUUGGUUCUCUGGUCCAGAAUUUAAAACUGGAACAUUUCGAGUCUGGAGAAGAUUCUUCUCAUUAACAGAUGGCUGCCUUUCACUGCGUGGUGAAAUGGCACUGGGCUGAGUGGGCUCUGCCCACUUCUUGUUCUUUUAAUGGUAUCCAUCUUGUCACCGAUUCCCUACUCUCACAACACAGACUUCUUCUUGUUUUUGCUUCAUCGAUGAGGUCUUACUAUAUUGCCCUCCUAAACAGCCUAAGACUCACAAUGUAGACCAAGUAAGCCUCCAGUUGUCAGAGCUCUGCAUGCCUUGUCUGCCAGGUGCUAAGAUUAAAAGCAUAUGUCCUUAUGCUAAAACACACCAAACAUUUCUAUAUAAUCAAAACCAAUGCAAAACAGACAAAAUAUUAAUGCAGUCCAGAGAAGAAUCCCAAACAAAUAAGUAUGCAGAGUGUAGCCCCUUGCUUUCAGAUAGUUGGGAUACAUGGAUGGUAGUCCCCACCCUGCUUAUUUGUUGGCUGCUUGUUAUCUUGAAUGUGACUGUCCUCAUCUGUAAGUGGAUAUGAUAAGAUCUGCCCUCGCUCAGGAAUGCUAUGGACAUCAAAUAGAACUAUGAACACAAAAGAACCUAUAAAGAAUUCUGUAAACUGUAAAGUGCAGCCUAGAUUCUGUUAGAGAUUGUAGUCAAGGGACUAUUGUUCACAUGAAAGAAAGUGGAAGGAAGCCAAAGAAUCAGUAGCUGUCAUAAAUUGAGUCCUUCAUUUAUAUUACUAGCCUUGAUGAAAAUCAUGAAUGUUGUCAUCUGAACAGUUUAUAUUGAGAAAUUUAGACAAAUUUUCAUUAUAAUUUCAAGAGAUUCACUGACCACUUGAAGCUUAUAUAUUUAGAGCGCUCACAAUUAAAAACACUUGUUUAAAAAAAAGGAAAAUAUAAGUAAUGUGGAAAGUAUGUGAGUCCAAGAGUACACUGGGUAUAUUGGUGAACUGAGCAAGCUGGUGGUUAGGAGUGAGCAAAGAGCUAGUCAGAAAUGAGCUAAAAGUAAAAUAAAAAACAGGCAGGUUGCUGGUUAACAGUGUCAAUGUGUCCUUGUUUAGAAGAGUCAGUAAAUACCUGUGUGUGCAUGAAGGUUCUUGGAGGACUCUCAUUCGUGGAGUGAGAAACUCAGAAAAGUGUGUGAUAGAGGGCAAAAGAGUGGGAGUGUGUUGAGAGAUAGAAGUGGGGUGAAGACGUUUUCAGAAGUCUGUCUGGGCUGCAGUCUUUGCAGUUAAUGGUAACUAAUAGCUCUACUUCUUCAUUUCCAGCUUCUUCUGUAGGUUUCCCAGGAGGCCACUCUGGAAGGACUUAAUGACAAUACUCGAGAGAAAAUAGGAACCCUUGCUAUCAAAACUCCUCUGUAUUAAUACUAUCCUGCAACUGACUUAGAACUGAACUUUAUGUCUAUGUUCUCCAUGAACACUUUUACUACCCACUGCUGAUUCUACCUAGAGUUACUCCUGCUAUACCUGUAUUGACAAUUUGAAUUUUAGGAAUGACUUCAGCCUUGACCAAAACAGCUCCUGUGUGCUCCACAUGACUGUGUGCAUGUGUUUGUUUCAGCUCCACUGUCCAGGCUUCUAUGUCCUAUGAUAUGAUACAUCCUGGUAACUGUAUCUGACUCUGCAGCCUCCCAGACCACAUCAUGAGCAGUUCAGGAGACUCUUGUGCAAGUUCUAGUUAUAUACUAAUGCCAUUUCUGCUUGUUCCUUAUUUGAAAAUAUAGAGAAGAGACAGACA